RNAcentral lists this ribosomal RNA (503 nucleotides) under uncultured bacterium. RNAcentral describes it as "partial 16S ribosomal RNA". It matches the Rfam family "Bacterial small subunit ribosomal RNA", at positions 30 to 523 of the family's 1533-position model. The record is from RNAcentral.
AUUGAACGCUGGCGGCAGGCUUAACACAUGCAAGUCGAGCGGGGUGAUGGUGCUUGCACUAUCACUUAGCGGCGGACGGGUGAGUAAUGCUUAGGAAUCUGCCUAUUAGUGGGGGACAACAUCUCGAAAGGGAUGCUAAUACCGCAUACGUCCUACGGGAGAAAGCAGGGGAUCACUUGUGACCUUGCGCUAAUAGAUGAGCCUAAGUCGGAUUAGCUAGUUGGUGGGGUAAAGGCCUACCAAGGCGACGAUCUGUAGCGGGUCUGAGAGGAUGAUCCGCCACAUUGGGACUGAGACACGGCCCAGACUCCUACGGGGGGCAGCAGUGGGGAAUAUUGGACAAUGGGGGGAACCCUGAUCCAGCCAUGCCGCGUGUGUGAAGAAGGCCUUAUGGUUGUAAAGCACUUUAAGCGAGGAGGAGGCUCCUUUGGUUAAUACCCAAGAUGAGUGGACGUUACUCGCAGAAUAAGCACCGGCUAACUCUGUGCCAGCAGCCGCAGUAA